GUGGGGAAUCUUGGACAAUGGGCGAAAGCCUGAUCCAGCCAUGCCGCGUGGAUGAUGAAGGCCCUAGGGUUGUAAAAUCCUUUCGUUGGGGACGAUAAUGACGGUACCCAAAGAAGAAGCUCCGGCUAACUUCGUGCCAGCAGCCGCGGUAAUACGAAGGGGGCUAGCGUUGUUCGGAUUUACUGGGCGUAAAGCGCGUGUAGGCGGAUUUGUAAGUUGGGGGUGAAAUCCCGAGGCUCAACCUCGGAACUGCCUCCAAAACUACAAAUCUGGACUCAAGUAGAGGCAAGUGGAAUUGCGAGUGUAGAGGUGAAAUUCGUAGAUAUUCGCAGGAACACCAGUGGCGAAGGCGACUUGCUGGACUUGUAGUGACGCUGAGACGCGAAAGCGUGGGGAGCAAACAGGAUUAGAUACCCGGGUAGUCC
RNAcentral lists this ribosomal RNA (425 nucleotides) under uncultured bacterium. RNAcentral describes it as "bacterial SSU rRNA". It matches the Rfam family "Bacterial small subunit ribosomal RNA", at positions 354 to 796 of the family's 1533-position model. The record is from RNAcentral.